CCUACGGGUGGCUGCAGUGGGGGAUAUUGCACAAUGGGGGGAACCCUGAUGCAGCGACGCCGCGUGGGUGAAGGAGCGUUUCGGCGCGUAAAGCCCUAUCGGCAGGGAAGAAGAUGACGGUACCUGACCAAGAAGCCCCGGCUAACUACGUGCCAGCAGCCGCGGUAAUACGUAGGGGGCAAGCGUGAUCCGGAUUUACUGGGGGGAAGGGGGGCGCAGACGGCAAUGCAAGCCAGGAGUGAAAGCCCGGGGCACAACUCCGGGACUGCUAUUGGAACUGGACGGCUGGAGUACAGGAGGGGCAUGCGGAAUUCCUAGUGUAGCGGUGAAAUGCGUAGAUAUUAGGAGGAACACCGGCGGCGAAGGCGGCCUGCUGGACCGUAACUGACGUUGAGGCUCGAAAGCGUGGGGAGCAAACAGGAUUAGAUACCCCUGUAGUC
This 440-nucleotide ribosomal RNA is filed under the name uncultured bacterium. Its description in RNAcentral is "partial 16S ribosomal RNA". It matches the Rfam family "Bacterial small subunit ribosomal RNA", at positions 338 to 795 of the family's 1533-position model. The record is from RNAcentral.